UGGCGGACGGGUGAGUAAUGUCUGGGAAACUGCCCGAUGGAGGGGGAUAACUAUGGAAACGGUAGCUAAUACCGCAUAACGUCGCAAGACCAAAGAGGGGGACCUUAGGGCCUCUUGCCAUCGGAUGUGCCCAGAUGGGAUUAGCUAGUAGGUGGGGUAAUGGCUCACCUAGGCGACGAUCCCUAGCUGGUCUGAGAGGAUGACCAGCCACACUGGAACUGAGACACGGUCCAG
This 234-nucleotide ribosomal RNA is filed under the name uncultured bacterium. Its description in RNAcentral is "partial 16S ribosomal RNA". It matches the Rfam family "Bacterial small subunit ribosomal RNA", at positions 96 to 334 of the family's 1533-position model. The record is from RNAcentral.